GACGAACGCUGGCGGUGUGCUUAACACAUGCAAGUCGAACGGAAAGGCCCUGCUUUUGUGGGGUGCUCGAGUGGCGAACGGGUGAGUAACACGUGAGUAACCUGCCCUUGACUUUGGGAUGACUUCAGGAAACUGGGGCUAAUACCGGAUAGGAGCUCCUGCUGCAUGGUGGGGGUUGGAAAGUUUCGGCGGUUGGGGAUGGACUCGCGGCUUAUCAGCUUGUUGGUGGGGUAGUGGCUUACCAAGGCUUUGACGGGUAGCCGGCCUGAGAGGGUGACCGGCCACAUUGGGACUGAGAUACGGCCCAGACUCCUACGGGAGGCAGCAGUGGGGAAUAUUGCACAAUGGGCGGAAGCCUGAUGCAGCAACGCCGCGUGCGGGAUGACGGCCUUCGGGUUGUAAACCGCUUUCGCCUGUGACGAAGCGUGAGUGACGGUAAUGGGUAAAGAAGCACCGGCUAACUACGUG
Molecule: ribosomal RNA, 468 nt
Filed under: uncultured bacterium
Lineage: Bacteria
Description: partial 16S ribosomal RNA
Rfam family: Bacterial small subunit ribosomal RNA
Source: RNAcentral